Molecule: transfer RNA, 69 nt
Filed under: Melanorivulus punctatus
Lineage: Eukaryota; Metazoa; Chordata; Actinopteri; Cyprinodontiformes; Rivulidae
Description: tRNA-Ala
Rfam family: tRNA
About the family: Transfer RNA (tRNA) molecules are approximately 80 nucleotides in length.
Source: RNAcentral
GAGGCUUUAGCUUAAUUAAAGCGUUUGUCUUGCAUACAAAAGAUGUGGGUUAAAUACUCGUAAGUCUUA